GCAUAUCAAUAAGCGGAGGAAAAGAAACCAACAGGGAUUGCCCCAGUAACGGCGAAGUGAAGCGGCAACAGCUCAAAUUUGAAAUCUGGCCCCCCCGGGCCCGAGUUGUAAUUUGUAGAGGAUGCUUUUGGUGCGGCGCCGCCCGAGUUCCCUGGAACGGGACGCCAUAGAGGGUGAGAGCCCCGUCUGGCUGGACGCUAAGCCUCUGUAAAGCUCCUUCGACGAGUCGAGUAGUUUGGGAAUGCUGCUCAAAAUGGGAGGUAUAUGUCUUCUAAAGCUAAAUACCGGCCAGAGACCGAUAGCGCACAAGUAGAGUGAUCGAAAGAUGAAAAGCACUUUGAAAAGAGGGUUAAAUAGUACGUGAAAUUGUUGAAAGGGAAGCGCUCGUGACCAGACUUGGGCUUGACGGAUCAUCCGGCGUUCUCGCCGGUGCACUCUGCCUCGUCCAGGCCAGCAUCAGUUCGCCGCGGGGGAGAAAGGCUUCGGGAACGUGGCUCCUCCGGGAGUGUUAUAGCCCGUCGCGGAAUACCCUGGGGCGGACUGAGGUUCGCGCAUCUGCAAGGAUGCUGGCGUAAUGGUCAUCAGCGACCCGUCUUGAAACACGGACCAAGGAGUCGUCUUCGUAUGCGAGUGUUCGGGUGUCAAACCCCUACGCGUAAUGAAAGUGAACGCAGGUGAGAGCUUCGGCGCAUCAUCGACCGAUCCUGAUGUUCUCGGAUGGAUUUGAGUAAGAGCAUACGGGGCCGGACCCGAAAGAAGGUGAACUAUGCCUGUAUAGGGUGAAGCCAGAGGAAACUCUGGUGGAGGCUCGCAGCGGUUCUGACGUGCAAAUCGAUCGUCAAAUAUGGGCAUGGGGGCGAAAGACUAAUCGAACCUUCUAGUAGCUGGUUUCCGCCGAA
Molecule: ribosomal RNA, 899 nt
Filed under: Hypomyces stephanomatis
Lineage: Eukaryota; Fungi; Ascomycota; Sordariomycetes; Hypocreales; Hypocreaceae
Description: LSU rRNA
Rfam family: Eukaryotic large subunit ribosomal RNA
Source: RNAcentral